Non-coding RNA from Rattus norvegicus (Norway rat), 558 nucleotides. The record is from RefSeq and is a predicted model, not a curated record. NCBI's taxonomy places the organism in Eukaryota, Metazoa, Chordata, Mammalia, Rodentia, Muridae.
GGCUUUGCUUCCUCUGGCAGAGGGGUGAGGGAGGUGUUUGGCUAUUUCAGUAGCAAUAUCCUGUGCCGCCACAGAAUCUAUUUCUCUGGAAUGUUUGAAGCAGGGUUGUGGCAGCAAUGGAGGCUUCCUGAUUGAGACAGCAUGGUAGCCUUUGCUCCAGACUCAACAGCUGUGGCUGCCAUCUCUGACUCAGAAGGACUUUCCGAUGCCCAGGGAGUGGUAGCUACCUGAAGUCCCAGACCUGCUGCAGGGCUCUGAACACACAGCCUAGAGGUUUCUCUACAUCUCCUCAUGUUUUCUACAGGACGGCCUGUGAACAUUUUUUUUUGACUGAUGAGUGAGGAGGUGAAUGAAGUUCACUAUGCUGGGGGUCCUGGGGUCCAUAUGAAGCAGGUUGAGCAAGCCAUGGAGAGCAAGCCAGGAAGCAGCACUCCUCCGCGGAUGGCGUCUGCAUCAGUUCCUGCCUCCAGGUUCCUGCCCUAUCUGAGUUCCUGUCCUGACUUCCCUCAGUGAUGGACAGUGACCUGGUAAAGGAUGAGCUGAAAUAAACCUGUUCCU